AACGAACGCUGGCGGCAGGCCUAACACAUGCAAGUCGAGCGCACCUUCGGGUGAGCGGCGGACGGGUGAGUAUCGCGUGGGAACGUGCCCUUCUCUACGGAAUAGUCCUGGGAAACUGGGGGUAAUACCGUAUACGCCCUAUUGGGGAAAGAUUUAUCGGAGAAGGAUCGGCCCGCGUUGGAUUAGGUAGUUGGUGGGGUAAUGGCUCACCAAGCCGACGAUCCAUAGCUGGUUUGAGAGGAUGAUCAGCCACACUGGGACUGAGACACGGCCCAG
RNAcentral lists this ribosomal RNA (276 nucleotides) under uncultured bacterium. RNAcentral describes it as "partial 16S ribosomal RNA". It matches the Rfam family "Bacterial small subunit ribosomal RNA", at positions 29 to 334 of the family's 1533-position model. The record is from RNAcentral.